UUAUGUAAUCAUUUAUUUUAUUAUUGCAAUAACUAGAAAUUUACGAGUAACCUUUAGAAAAUGUAUUAAUUAUUUAAAGAUGACAAUAAUUUUGUUACGUAGAACGGAUCGCAUUGUUUUGACAACAGCAACAGAGCACUUGUAUCAAAUAUCAACAAUUGAAAAUUUUGCCUAAAGUGUUGUAUAUGUUCGGAACGAAUACAACCAAAAUCCUUCUAUCCUGUACGGUGUGAAUGAAUUCAAAAGAAGGAACCGUAUUUUGAAACACACGGUAUUAAAUGUGAUCCUACCGCUGAUCAGUGAUCAUUACAAACUUGCAACCUUAUAACAACAGAGGAUCGCCAAACCUACCGCAAUUGCAAAUACUUAUUGCAUUAAGGCAUAAAAAUGCAACUGGAUGUUUUCAGAUGGUGUGUGGUGAUCUGAACAGCAUAAGCCAAUCUACAGUCUGUUUAAUUAUAAAUAAAGUCUCUGCAGAGUUGAGUAAAUUA
Molecule: long non-coding RNA, 491 nt
Organism: Pieris napi
Lineage: Eukaryota; Metazoa; Arthropoda; Insecta; Lepidoptera; Pieridae
Exons: 2
Source: RefSeq, a predicted model, not a curated record